Molecule: long non-coding RNA, 2723 nt
Organism: Polyodon spathula (Mississippi paddlefish)
Lineage: Eukaryota; Metazoa; Chordata; Actinopteri; Acipenseriformes; Polyodontidae
Exons: 3
Source: RefSeq, a predicted model, not a curated record
GUGUUUGACAGAGUUGUUGCUCUCUGCAGUACUGAGGCACCACACGUUACUCGUACCUACUCUGUGACUGAUCUGUUUUCUGAAAAAGCAUCAUUUGAAUUGGCUCAAAAAGCAAUGGCUACAUUUGCCCAAAGCCAACUCAAUAUUGUACGAAAAAAAUGGCUGACAGAAGAAUGUUCGCUUAAGGUGCGCUGGUGGAGAAUGGUUGCCACUGGGUUUACUGGGGAUAUGUCUAGUGGGAGAUCCAGAACAUGUCAGCCCAACGAGGUAACAGUCCACUCACUUAGAGAGCAUUAACACUAAAUGAGCCCUUGAUGGAAAGGGGAACUUGGUUUGUAAAGCCAGUUGACCAUUUUAUUGCUGUGAAAAAAAAAAAAAAUGUGUUAAAAUGUGUUUUUCUGCCGUUUUUAAUUAUGUUGGUGAUGGCAACCCUCCUACAGACCAAUGGAGACAACGUCAAGCAAAUCAUGUGCAGUACUGUGUGGUACCUUACCAGGUUCUCUCUGUUGUGGACAUAAAAAAAAAUCUUGCAAAACUUCCUUCUAAUAUGACACUACUCUGACCAGGUUCAGUUUUGGAACAAAUUAUAUCUCCACACCUAAGUAAGCAAGGUGAGGCACUGACUGUGAUUCAGCAAUCCUGUAUCAAAUGAUACAAUCUAAUCUCCACCCUUCUUUUCCUUCUGGUAAGGAGCCUCAAGGGCCUGUUUGCUUCAUUUGUCAAUUGGCAGUGGCAAAAGAGACUCUGAGUAGACAUAUCACUUCCAGAGGAAUCACAAAGAGCCAACGACCUGAAAACCCGCAAACUGCAAUGCAUGUUUUCAACUGAUUAGAUGCUGCCUUCCUUGACCCUUUUAAGCAGGCCUGCUGGAUAACGGACAAUGAAACCUAUUCACAAAGCUCACAGCAGACUUCCAGAAUCUACUGAGGUCGACUGAAUCCCUGGAUGCAGAAAGUGGGAGGCUCCAAUACGGAUUUGGAGGACGCAGUCACUGUUUCAAAAGUUGCAGCGACACAACCAGCUCUUCUCUUGAUAUCCUUUUUUUUCAUUGUUUAAGGCUAUUGGCAACUGAAAACUGACCAUCUUUUAAUGACGCAAGAUCACGAUGCGAAGCUGCAGUGUUUAUUUUUGUUUCUUCUAAAGACCCAGCAAUUUGUCAGUCUGUGCAAUCCACAAAUAUUCAUUAAGUGGGAGGUUAAAGGAAAGCCAUCUGUAUUAACAUAUGCGACAAAGAGUGGUGUUUAGUAUUGCUGGGUGUUUAUUGCAGGGUAUUAUCUACAAAUUAAAUGCAGUCAAACAACAACUAUUCAAUCCAGAAAAGUAACUAUUAUUGUUAGAGAACUGUCUCUUCAUAAAAUAGGAAACUUAACAAAUAUGAAACAAAACAAAAGGGAUACCAUGUAAGAAAAAGAAACCAAGGAGCUAUUCUGCUGCCAACUAAAAAAAGGCUAAUAUUCGGAAUACCAUGUUCGCCACACAAAUAUGCAAGCAGAUUCUAUUCUCUUUAACAUUCAACACUCUACUCUCGGACUUGAUAACAGAGGGGUGGAAGGGGGAGGGCGACUACAACAGAAAGCACUGACAUUUAAUGGUUGUUUUACUUGUUUUUCAAAACUAGAAAUAGACAACACGUCACUAUUGAUUAAUAAACUUUUACAAGCUUCAUUUUAACCUCAUACAAUAUCACAGGUUUGAUAAAAAGCUGUUAGUUAAAAACCAGGGCAACAUUUGCACACAAAAUGAAACUUUGUUACCAUAUACAAGGACUUCCUUAAUAAAUUACACAAAAACUGUUGACUAACCAGCUGAACAAACAAGCUACCAUGGAGGUCACUAGUGAUUAUAUACUAUUUCCCUUGAGGAAAACUAUUUACUGUCCAGCUGGGGUUACAUUUCUGGCAUAGACAGGUCUGAAACCUUAAAGACGUUGUGGAGCUCUGAAGGAGCUGUGCACACACAGACUGAGGCAUCUCCAGUGUGAGCUUUUCUACUGCAAAUUGCUUGUUCAUGUGUAUUCGCCACCACACCCAGUGAUACUUAAUGCAAACUCAAAGGCACUGUAUAAAUAAAAUACCCUUUGUUUAACAGAAAGAGUUUCGGGGCAAUGUGCAGUGACAGAUAAAAGCAAUCUGGAAAGUGUUAAGCAAUCCAUCCUUGUUUUUUUUUUUUUUAUUAACAAGUUGUAACUUCAAUACAAAACUUUCUACGGAGAAAUUAUUCUGGAAAUAAUUUAAAUGAAACCUUUAGCAAACGGUUGCUUGCAUCUUGCUCAUUUGCUAAUUAUCAUUUCUCAUACUCUUCCAGCUAACCAAUCAAAAUCGCACAGAAUGUUACUCCCUUGCAGAAAUGGGUUAGGACCCUUGGUAGUGUUUAUUGUUUUGAAAUUGUUUUUAAUUGGAACACAGAAAUUACAGUACAAGCUCAUUUAGAAAGUGCUGGCAAUUGGAUUUCUAAGCGACUGGUGGGCAUCUGUAAAGAGCAAUGCUAAAGACAGGAAGCUGGCAAUUCGUUAUUCUAAUUUCAGAUUUUGACACUUGACAGACACUACAACUGGUGUGCUCACAGUGGAAGGCUGGGUUGAGGUGAGAAUGUAUAAUUACACUGCAACCUACAGCAGGGCUGAAGAGCGCACUGCAUUUCUAUAAAUGUACCCUCAUUCUGACACAUUCUGAGGUUUAUAAUAAACAUGUAUUUUGAUAACAGUUGCUUUGCUCCUUGUGAUU